RNAcentral lists this ribosomal RNA (164 nucleotides) under uncultured bacterium. RNAcentral describes it as "partial 16S rRNA". It matches the Rfam family "Bacterial small subunit ribosomal RNA", at positions 355 to 511 of the family's 1533-position model. The record is from RNAcentral.
UAGGGAAUCUUCCACAAUGGGCGCAAGCCUGAUGGAGCAACACCGCGUGAGUGAAGAAGGUUUUCGGAUCGUAAAGCUCUGUUGUUAAAGAAGAACACGUAUGAGAGUAACUGUUCAUACGUUGACGGUAUUUAACCAGAAAGUCACGGCUAACUACGUGCUAG